Molecule: ribosomal RNA, 484 nt
Filed under: uncultured bacterium
Lineage: Bacteria
Description: partial 16S ribosomal RNA
Rfam family: Bacterial small subunit ribosomal RNA
Source: RNAcentral
AUUGAACGCUGGCGGCAUGCCUUACACAUGCAAGUCGAACGGCAGCACGGACUUCGGUCUGGUGGCGAGUGGCGAACGGGUGAGUAAUGCAUCGGAACGUACCUUUCAGUGGGGGGUAACGUAGCGAAAGUUACGCGAAUACCGCAUAUUCUGUGAGCAGGAAAGCAGGGGAUGGAAAGACCUUGCGCGGGGUGAGGGGCCGAUAUCGGAUUAGCUAGUUGGUGGGGUAAAGGCCUACGAAGGCGACGAUCUGUAGCGCGUCUGAGAGGCUGAUCCGCCACCCUGGAACUGAGCCACGGUCCAGACUCCUACGGGAGGCAGCAGUGGGGAAUUUUGGACAAUGGGGGCAAACCUGAUCCAGCCAUGCCGCGUGAGUGAAGACGGCCUUCGGGUUGUAAUGAUCUCUCGGCCGGGAAGAACUCGCAUAGGCUAAUACCCUGUGUGGAUGACGGUACCGGAAUAAGAAGCACCGGCUAACUACGUG